This 253-nucleotide ribosomal RNA is filed under the name uncultured bacterium. RNAcentral describes it as "partial 16S ribosomal RNA". It matches the Rfam family "Bacterial small subunit ribosomal RNA", at positions 524 to 776 of the family's 1533-position model. The record is from RNAcentral.
UACAGAGGUCUCAAGCGUUGUUCGGAAUUAUUGGGCGUAAAGCGCUUGUAGGCGGCUUGUUAAGUCCUGUGUGAAAGCCCUUGGCUUAACCAAGGAAGUGCGCAGGAAACUGGCGAGCUUGAGUGCUGGAGAGGGUCGCGGAAUUCCCGGUGUAGAGGUGAAAUUCGUAGAUAUCGGGAGGAACACCAGUGGCGAAGGCGGCGACCUGGACGGACACUGACGCUGAGACGCGAAAGCGUGGGGAGCAAACAGG